Molecule: ribosomal RNA, 828 nt
Filed under: Volutella consors
Lineage: Eukaryota; Fungi; Ascomycota; Sordariomycetes; Hypocreales; Nectriaceae
Description: eukaryotic LSU rRNA
Rfam family: Eukaryotic large subunit ribosomal RNA
Source: RNAcentral
AUUGCCCUAGUAACGGCGAGUGAAGCGGCAACAGCUCAAAUUUGAAAUCUGGCCCUCGGGUCCGAGUUGUAAUUUGUAGAGGAUGUUUUUGGUGCGGUGCCUUCCGAGUUCCCUGGAACGGGACGCCAUAGAGGGUGAGAGCCCCGUCUGGUUGGACGCCAAUCCUAUGUAAAACUCCUUCGACGAGUCGAGUAGUUUGGGAAUGCUGCUCUAAAUGGGAGGUAUAUGUCUUCUAAAGCUAAAUAUUGGCCAGAGACCGAUAGCGCACAAGUAGAGUGAUCGAAAGAUGAAAAGCACUUUGAAAAGAGAGUUAAAAAGCACGUGAAAUUGUUGAAAGGGAAGCGCUUAUGACCAGACUUGGACUUGGUUGAUCAUCCGGCGUUCUCGCCGGUGCACUCUUCCGGUUCAGGCCAGCAUCAGUUUGCUUCGGGGGAUAAAGGCUUUGGGAAUGUGGCUCCCUCGGGAGUGUUAUAGCCCAUUGUGUAAUACCCUGGAGCGGACUGAGGUACGCGUUCUGCAAGGAUGCUGGCGUAAUGGUCAUCAGUGACCCGUCUUGAAACACGGACCAAGGAGUCGUCUUCGUAUGCGAGUGUUCGGGUGUUAAACCCCUACGCGUAAUGAAAGUGAACGCAGGUGAGAGCUUCGGCGCAUCAUCGACCGAUCCUGAUGUUCUCGGAUGGAUUUGAGUAAGAGCAUACGGGGCCGGACCCGAAAGAAGGUGAACUAUGCCUGUGUAGGGUGAAGCCAGAGGAAACUCUGGUGGAGGCUCGCAGCGGUUCUGACGUGCAAAUCGAUCGUCAAACAUGGGCAUGGGGGCGAAAGACUAAU